Molecule: ribosomal RNA, 945 nt
Filed under: uncultured bacterium
Lineage: Bacteria
Description: bacterial SSU rRNA
Rfam family: Archaeal small subunit ribosomal RNA
Source: RNAcentral
CCGGCUGCUCGAGUGAUGGCCACUAUUACUGGGUUUAAAGCGUCCGUAGCUUGACUGUUAGGUCUCUUGGGAAAUCUUCACGCUCAACGUGAAGGCGUCUAAGAGAUACCGGCAGUCUUGGAACUGGGAGAGGUAAACCGUANUNCGGGGGUAGGAGUGAAAUCUUGUAAUCCUCGAGGGACGACCUAUGGCGAAGGCAGUUUACCAGAACAGCUUCGACAGUGAGGGACGAAAGCUGGGGGAGCAAACGGGAUUAGAUACCCCGGUAGUCCCAGCCGUAAACAAUGUGCGUUAGGUGUGUCGGUAACCACGUGUUACUGAUGCGCCGAAGAGAAAUCGUGAAACGCACCACCUGGGAAGUACGGUCGCAAGGAUGAAACUUAAAGGAAUUGGCGGGGGAGCACCACAACAGGUGGAGCCUGCGGUUUAAUUGGAUUCAACGCCGGACAUCUCACCGGAUAAGACAGCUGAAUGAUUGUCAAUCUGAAGGUUUUACAUGACUAGCUGAGAGGAGGUGCAUGGCCGUCGUCAGUUCGUACUGUGAAGCAUCCUGUUAAGUCAGGCAACGAGCGAGACCCACGCCGACAAUUGCCAGCAGCAUCUCCGGAUGGCUGGGGACAUUGUCGGGACCGCCUCUGCUAAAGAGGAGGAAGGAAUGGGCAACGGUAGGUCAGCAUGCCCCGAAUUAUCCGGGCUACACGCGGGCUACAAUGGACGGGACAAUGGGUAACAACACCGAAAGGUGCAGUCAAUCUCCUAACCCCGUCCUUAGUUAGGAUUGCGGGUUGCAACUCACCCGCAUGAAUCUGGAAUCUGUAGUAAUCGCGUUUCACUAUAGCGCGGUGAAUACGUCCCUGCUCCUUGCACACACCGCCCGUCAAACCAUCCUAGUGGGGUUUGGAUGAGUCCCUGGUCUUUGCCGGGGUCGAAUCUAGGUUCCGUGAG